AAAAAGAAGCAAAGGAAACAUAAAAAAAGGAAAGCAGCAAAAAAAAAGUGAUUGAUGAAUUUGAUUGUUGUGGUGUAAUUUUUAACUUUUUUAUG
Molecule: non-coding RNA, 95 nt
Filed under: Chattonella subsalsa
Lineage: Eukaryota; Raphidophyceae; Chattonellales; Chattonellaceae
Source: RNAcentral